UUAAGCAUAUCAAUAAGCGGAGGAAAAGAAACUAACAAGGAUUCCCCUAGUAACUGCGAGUGAAGCGGGAAAAGCUCAAAUUUGAAAUCUGGCAGUCCCUGUGGCUGUCCGAGUUGUAAUUUAGAGAAGUGCUACCCGCGCUGGACCGUAUACAAGUCCUCUGGAAUGGGGCGUCAUAGAGGGUGAGAAUCCCGUCUUUGAUACGGACUACCAGUGCUUUGUGGUGUGCUCUCGAAGAGUCGAGUUGUUUGGGAAUGCAGCUCAAAAUGGGUGGUAAAUUCCAUCUAAAGCUAAAUACAGGCGAGAGACCGAUAGCGAACAAGUACCGUGAGGGAAAGAUGAAAAGAACUUUGGAAAGAGAGUUAAACAGUACGUGAAAUUGCUGAAAGGGAAACGCUUGAAGUCAGUCGCGUCGUCUUGGAAUCAACCUCGCUAUUGCUUGGUGUACUUCCUUGUCGAUGGGUCAGCAUCAGUUUCGAUCGUUGGAUAAAGGUCAUCGGAAUGUGGCACCCUCGGGUGUGUUAUAGCCUUUGAUUGUAUACAGCGGUUGGGACUGAGGUACUCAGCACGCCGCAAGGCCGGGUUUCGACCACGUAACGUGCUUAGGAUGCUGGCAUAAUGGCUUUAAUCGACCCGUCUUGAAACACGGACCAAGGAGUCUAACAUGCCUGCGAGU
RNAcentral lists this ribosomal RNA (676 nucleotides) under Pulverulina ulmicola. RNAcentral's name for it is "eukaryotic LSU rRNA". It matches the Rfam family "Eukaryotic large subunit ribosomal RNA", at positions 34 to 691 of the family's 3401-position model. The record is from RNAcentral. Lineage: Eukaryota; Fungi; Basidiomycota; Agaricomycetes; Agaricales; Porotheleaceae.